AGCAGCCGCGGUAAUUCCAGCUCCAAUAGCGUAUAUUAAAGUUGUUGCAGUUAAAAAGCUCGUAGUUGAAUUUCGGGAUCAAUAUGUCGGUCGUGCCUCGGUACGUACUGGCGUCAUUGGUUUCUCCCUUCUGAAGAACCGCGAUGUCAUUAAUUUGGUGUCGUGGGGAAUCAGGACUGUUACUUUGAAAAAAUUAGAGUGUUUAAAGCAGGCUCGCGCUUGAAUACAUUAGCAUGGAAUAAUGAAAUAGGACGUUUGAUUCUAUUUUGUUGGUUUCUAGGAUCGACGUAAUGAUUAAUAGGGAUAGUUGGGGGCAUUAGUAUUCAAUUGUCAGAGGUGAAAUUCUUGGAUUUAUUGAAGACUAACUACUGCGAAAGCAUUUGCCAAGGAUGUUUUCAUUAAUCAAGAACGAAAGUUAGGGGAUCGAAGACGAUCAGAUACCGUCGUAGUCUUAACCAUAAACUAUGCCGACUAGGGAUCGGAUGAUGUUGAUUUUUUAAUGACUCAUUCGGCGCCUUAA
Molecule: ribosomal RNA, 520 nt
Filed under: uncultured Glomus
Lineage: Eukaryota; Fungi; Glomeromycota; Glomeromycetes; Glomerales; Glomeraceae
Description: SSU rRNA
Rfam family: Eukaryotic small subunit ribosomal RNA
Source: RNAcentral